UCCGGCUUAUCACCGGCAGUAUCGUCAGAGUUCCCAGCAUUACCUGGCCUUGACAUGCAAGUAGUAGAACCAUGAAAGUGGGACGAGCCCGCAAGGGCGGCUUGCACAGGUGCUGCAUGGCUGUCGUCAGCUCGUGUCGUGAGAUGUUGGGUUAAGUCCCGCAACGAGCGCAACCCUUGUGUCCUGUUGCCACCCUCUCGAGAGAGAGGAGCACUCUGGACAGACUGCCUCGCUUAAACGAGGAGGAAGGUGGGGAUGACGUUCCAGUAUCGAA
RNAcentral lists this unclassified non-coding RNA (274 nucleotides) under uncultured Verrucomicrobiae bacterium. Its description in RNAcentral is "contains 16S-23S intergenic spacer region". The stretch from base 38 to 274 matches the Rfam family "Bacterial small subunit ribosomal RNA", at positions 969 to 1197 of the family's 1533-position model. The record is from RNAcentral. Lineage: Bacteria; Pseudomonadati; Verrucomicrobiota; Verrucomicrobiia.